CGCAAAAUCUGCACACCUGCUUGAACCUGCAAGUUGUGAAUAGAGGGUUAAUCAUGGAACUAAAUAUCACAACUGUUAUGGAAUUAUGGUACAGAACAAUUUGGUUAAAAUGAGCACCAAAUGAGGUGUUGCCUACAAUGGUCCAGCAAAUUAUAACAGAAAAAA
Long non-coding RNA from Panicum virgatum (switchgrass), 165 nucleotides. RefSeq lists it as uncharacterized. The transcript has 2 exons. The record is from RefSeq and is a predicted model, not a curated record. NCBI's taxonomy places the organism in Eukaryota, Viridiplantae, Streptophyta, Magnoliopsida, Poales, Poaceae.